CGCGUAGGUGGUUGUGAUAGUCAGAUGUGAAAUCCUUUGGCUUAACUAAAGAACUGCAUCUGAAACUUCAUAACUCGAGUACAGGAGAGGGAAACGGAAUUCCCGGUGUAGAGGUGAAAUUCGUAGAUAUCGGGAGGAACACCAGUGGCGAAGGCGGUUUCCUGGCCUGAUACUGACACUGAGGCGCGAAAGCGUGGGGAGCAAACA
RNAcentral lists this ribosomal RNA (207 nucleotides) under uncultured Syntrophorhabdus sp. RNAcentral describes it as "partial 16S ribosomal RNA". It matches the Rfam family "Bacterial small subunit ribosomal RNA", at positions 568 to 774 of the family's 1533-position model. Lineage: Bacteria; Pseudomonadati; Thermodesulfobacteriota; Syntrophorhabdia; Syntrophorhabdales; Syntrophorhabdaceae. The record is from RNAcentral.